RNAcentral lists this ribosomal RNA (539 nucleotides) under uncultured bacterium. RNAcentral describes it as "bacterial SSU rRNA". It matches the Rfam family "Bacterial small subunit ribosomal RNA", at positions 1 to 533 of the family's 1533-position model. The record is from RNAcentral.
UAGAGUUUGAUCAUGGCUCAGGACGAACGCUGGCGGCGCGCUUAACACAUGCAAGUCGAGCGAGAACCAGUCCUUCGGGACUGGGGACAGCGGCGAACGGGUGAGUAACACGUGAGUAAUCCACCCCCGACACUGGGAUAGCCCGGGGAAACCCGGAUUAAUACCGGAUAGCCACUUCGGUUUUCGGACCGAAAUGAAAAGGUAGCUUCGGCCUCCGGUUGGGGACGAGCUCGCGGCGGAUUAGCUUGUUGGCGGGGUAAAGGCCCACCAAGGCGACGAUCCGUAGCUGGUCUGAGAGGACGAUCAGCCACACUGGGACUGAGACACGGCCCAGACUCCUACGGGAGGCAGCAGUGGGGAAUCUUGCGCAAUGGGCGAAAGCCUGACGCAGCGACGCCGCGUGAGGGAAGAAGGCCUUCGGGUUGUAAACCUCUUUCAGGAGGGACGAAGCCACUCGGGUGAAUAGCCCAGAGGGUGACGGUACUUCCAGAAGAAGCCCCGGCUAACUACGUGCCAGCAGCCGCGGUAGCCCAAUCGCC